Molecule: ribosomal RNA, 568 nt
Filed under: Streptomyces sp.
Lineage: Bacteria; Bacillati; Actinomycetota; Actinomycetes; Kitasatosporales; Streptomycetaceae
Description: bacterial SSU rRNA
Rfam family: Bacterial small subunit ribosomal RNA
Source: RNAcentral
UUCGGUGGGGNNUAGUGGCGAACGGGUGAGUAACACGUGGGCAAUCUGCCCUGCACUCUGGGACAAGCCCUGGAAACGGGGUCUAAUACCGGAUAACACUUCGGGCCUCAUGGUCUGUGGUUAAAAGCUCCGGCGGUGCAGGAUGAGCCCGCGGCCUAUCAGCUUGUUGGUGAGGUAAUGGCUCACCAAGGCGACGACGGGUAGCCGGCCUGAGAGGGCGACCGGCCACACUGGGACUGAGACACGGCCCAGACUCCUACGGGAGGCAGCAGUGGGGAAUAUUGCACAAUGGGCGAAAGCCUGAUGCAGCGACGCCGCGUGAGGGAUGACGGCCUUCGGGUUGUAAACCUCUUUCAGCAGGGAAGAAGCGAAAGUGACGGUACCUGCAGAAGAAGCGCCGGCUAACUACGUGCCAGCAGCCGCGGUAAUACGUAGGGCGCAAGCGUUGUCCGGAAUUAUUGGGCGUAAAGAGCUCGUAGGCGGCUUGUCACGUCGGGUGUGAAAGCCCGGGGCUUAACCCCGGGUCUGCAUUCGAUACGGGCUAGCUAGAGUGUGGUAGGGGAGAUCG